This 294-nucleotide long non-coding RNA is filed under the name Struthio camelus australis. RNAcentral's name for it is "lncRNA (ENSSCUG00000006466.1)". The record is from RNAcentral. Lineage: Eukaryota; Metazoa; Chordata; Aves; Struthioniformes; Struthionidae.
GGCGUUACGCAGCAGCAGCAGCAGCAGCGAUCGCGCAAGAGGCAAGAGUUUGCUGCGUGCCUUCCCGAAGCGGUUUUGCGCCCAGAGGAUGGCCGGCUGCGGGCUGUCAGAAGAUGCUUUCUUCUCUUCCUUCUUUUACAACUCCUCCUCCUCCUGGGAAACCUCCUACAACCAGAUCAAGACUAGUGAGAGUUUCAGAGGAGAAUUGAGGAGUGCAAAACUCCUUCAAAAAACCACCCCCCCCCACCCCCAGCCAACCUUUGGUGGAGAUCACUGUGGAUACUGCAGGUAGAU